UACGGAGGGUGCGAGCGUUGUUCGGAAUUACUGGGCGUAAAGGGCGCGUAGGCGGCUUGAUAAGUCAGAUGUGAAAUCCCACGGCUCAACCGUGGAAGUGCAUCUGAAACUGUCUGGCUUGAGUAUUGGAGGGGAAAGUGGAAUUCCCGGUGUAGAGGUGAAAUUCGUAGAUAUCGGGAGGAACACCGGUGGCGAAGGCGACUUUCUGGACACAUACUGACGCUGAGGCGCGAAAGCGUGGGGAGCAAACAGG
Molecule: ribosomal RNA, 253 nt
Filed under: uncultured bacterium
Lineage: Bacteria
Description: partial 16S ribosomal RNA
Rfam family: Bacterial small subunit ribosomal RNA
Source: RNAcentral